RNAcentral lists this ribosomal RNA (334 nucleotides) under uncultured eukaryote. RNAcentral's name for it is "partial 18S ribosomal RNA". It matches the Rfam family "Eukaryotic small subunit ribosomal RNA", at positions 1470 to 1796 of the family's 1831-position model. The record is from RNAcentral.
CCCUUAGAUGUCCGGGGCCGCACGCGCGCUACACUGAAGGAAUCAGCGUGGCUUUCUCCCUGACCCGAAAGGGUUGGGAAACCCGUUGAAUCUCCUUCGUGAUAGGGAUUGGGGCUUGAAAUUGUUCCCCAUGAACGAGGAAUUCCCAGUAAGCGCGAGUCAUAAGCUCGCGUUGAUUACGUCCCUGCCCUUUGUACACACCGCCCGUCGCUACUAACGAUUGAACGGUUUAGUGAGGGCCUCGGAUUGGUCUCGGCCCGCUCUUUACCGGGCGGCGCCGUUGGUCGAGAAGACGCUCGAACUUGAUCGUUUAGAGGAAGUAAAAGUCGUAACA